Molecule: long non-coding RNA, 711 nt
Filed under: Citrus maxima (pomelo)
Lineage: Eukaryota; Viridiplantae; Streptophyta; Magnoliopsida; Sapindales; Rutaceae
Description: long non-coding RNA (CMAX_LNC003594)
Source: RNAcentral
GGAUAUAACCUCCUUUAAUAUAUUAAAGUUCGGCAAAAAAUUCAACAUGUACGUCUCAUACAUGGACCACAAAGUUCAAUACCUCAUCAUUGACUAGCAAUCAAUGUCACAAAACAAAACAACAAGAAUGCAUAGGAAAACGAAAAAAAAAAAAAAUUCUUUAGUGAUGUACCAGGGUGGUUGGUGGCUGGUGGUGGUUCGGUACGGUAGGAAGUGGUGAAUCGAUGAUGAAAGCCUCUCUCGUUUGCAACUGUUGAUUUUUGGUGGCUGGGUAGCUAGUGGUGUCGCGGUGCGGUGGCGACUUGGACCUUAGAGCAAUGUGGCCGCUUGGACCUUAGAGCCCGAGUUCAUGUUGCCAAUCGCUGCGAUCGUUGAGGGUUGUUGUUGGAGGCUUGGACCAUGGCGCAGCGUUGCACGGGUUCUCUCGAGUCUUGAGGUGUGCCGAAUGAUGUGUCAAUGUAUGUUUUUGUGUUUUGAGAGUGUGAGAUUUGUCAUGUGUGUGACGUGUAAUCUGUGUGUAUGAGUGAUUUUUUUUUUUUAAGUGUUAGAAUCGAAUCGGGAAAGACCCGAAUCCUAACUCUUAAUAUUUUUUUUUUGAAGUCUGUUAUACAUAGAUAUUACUGAUAUUAUAUCAGACAUUACAAUUAAUAUUUACAAUCAUAUUAUAUAAUUGAGACCACCGCCAUACAUUGACACACUGAAGUACAUGCC